GGGAAGAUACUCAAGCGGCCAACGAGGGCAGACUGUAAAUCUGCUGGUAUUACCUUCGCAGGUUCGAAUCCUGCUCUUCCCA
This 82-nucleotide transfer RNA is filed under the name Capnocytophaga sp. RNAcentral's name for it is "tRNA-Tyr". It matches the Rfam family "tRNA". Rfam says of the family: Transfer RNA (tRNA) molecules are approximately 80 nucleotides in length. Lineage: Bacteria; Pseudomonadati; Bacteroidota; Flavobacteriia; Flavobacteriales; Flavobacteriaceae. The record is from RNAcentral.